CGUAAAGAGCUCGUAGGUGGUUUGUCGCGUUGUUCGUGAAAUCUCACGGCUUAACUGUGAGCGUGCGGGCGAUACGGGCAGACUAGAGUACUGCAGGGGAGACUGGAAUUCCUGGUGUAGCGGUGGAAUGCGCAGAUAUCAGGAGGAACACCGGUGGCGAAGGCGGGUCUCUGGGCAGUAACUGACGCUGAGGAGCGAAAGCGUGGGGAGCGAACAGGAUUAGAUACCCUGGUAGUCCACGCCGUAAACGGUGGGUACUAGGUGUGGGUUUCCUUCCUUGGGAUCCGUGCCGUAGCUAACGCAUUAAGUACCCCGCCUGGGGAGUACGGCCGCAAGGCUAAAACUCAAAGGAAUUGACGGGGGCCCGCACAAGCGGCGGAGCAUGUGGAUUAAUUCGAUGCAACGCGAAGAACCUUACCUGGGUUUGACAUGCACAGGACGCGUCUAGAGAUAGGCGUUCCCUUGUGGCCUGUGUGCAGGUGGUGCAUGGCUGUCGUCAGCUCGCGUCGUGAGAUGUUGGGUUAAGUCCCGCAACGAGCGCAACCCUUGUCUCAUGUUGCCAGCGGGUAAUGCCGGGGACUCGUGAGAGACUGCCGGGGUCAACUCGGAGGAAGGUGGGGAUGACGUCAAGUCAUCAUGCCCCUUAUGUCCAGGGUUUCACACAUGCUACAAUGGCCGGUACAAAGGGCUGCGAUGCCGUAAGGUUAAGCGAAUCCUUUUAAAGCCGGUCUCAGUUCGGAUUGGGGUCUGCAACUCGACCCCAUGAAGUCGGAGUCGCUAGUA
RNAcentral lists this ribosomal RNA (783 nucleotides) under uncultured Mycobacterium sp. Its description in RNAcentral is "bacterial SSU rRNA". It matches the Rfam family "Bacterial small subunit ribosomal RNA", at positions 559 to 1340 of the family's 1533-position model. The record is from RNAcentral. Lineage: Bacteria; Bacillati; Actinomycetota; Actinomycetes; Mycobacteriales; Mycobacteriaceae.